This 207-nucleotide ribosomal RNA is filed under the name uncultured bacterium. RNAcentral describes it as "partial 16S ribosomal RNA". It matches the Rfam family "Bacterial small subunit ribosomal RNA", at positions 568 to 774 of the family's 1533-position model. The record is from RNAcentral.
UGCGUAGGCGGUUUAUUAAGUUUAAGAUGAAAGGCUGGGGCUCAACUCCAGUUUGUCUUAAAAACUGGUAAGCUUGAGUAUGGUAGAGGUAAAUGGAAUUUCUAGUGUAGCGGUGGAAUGCGUAGAUAUUAGAAGGAACACCAGUGGCGAAAGCGAUUACUAGGCCAAAACUAGACGCUGAAGCACGAAAGCGUGGGGAGGCAAAUA